Long non-coding RNA from Carassius auratus (goldfish), 2094 nucleotides. RefSeq lists it as uncharacterized. The record is from RefSeq and is a predicted model, not a curated record. Lineage: Eukaryota; Metazoa; Chordata; Actinopteri; Cypriniformes; Cyprinidae. The transcript is spliced from 2 exons.
GGGGGAAUGAGCAUGAGCAUCAUAUCAGAACAAGCCCAGCAUUUCCUGUUGAGGACAACCAUGAGAAUGCUUCCACCCAGGUCAUAACCUCUGAAGAUGGCUGGAAGACUAACAAUGUCAUUAUAUUCCUAACCACUGGGCAUAACAGGUUAGUCUGAUUAUGUGGCUUUCCAAACAGGAGGUGAACAACAAUGGAACAGACUCCCUUAGGACAGAGAGACAAUUUAAGCCGACUUGGGCUAUAAAUAGAGUGUUUCACUUUGUUUUCAUAUAUUUUAGAGUAGUGGACUAGCCUACUUUAUAAAUCCAGUGAACAAUUAAUUGUAAUACUAUCAACAGCGUGUAACUGCUAUUAGUUUUUGUGUAUACGAGAACAAAAAAAGUGAUAGAGAAAGUGAAGAGAGAGCAUAUGAAGGCUGUUUAGAAACUAAUAAUGAAAGUAAUUCAUACCAGAAAAGCAAGGGUGGGGAUCCAGUGAAGCGGAAUAGCUGUCCAUUAUUUACUGACAGAAAGGGAAAGCUGACGUUUAAAGAGCACGCGCAAUAUAUUAUUACUAUGGUAGUUUUUAGUAGAAUAACCAUUAAAACGCGAACAUUUUUCUCACGACUCUUUGCAGCUUGCUUUAAAUGUCUAAUAUUACAUACGAUAUGCAUUUUUAUAGCAUUUCCUUCUUUAAACCAGAUUGUAAUGACUUGGAUUUGUUCUCGAUGGCCACUAGGGGACGUACAAUCCUUUCCUUUGUCAAUGAUAACACAACCAGCUAUAAUGACUAGGAUCUGCUGGCUUUUUGUAUUUUCUGCUCUUAUUUUGAAAGAUGUACGACAACAUUCAUUACAGUAAGUAAGUAAAAGCAAAAGUAAACGAGUUAAAUAAUUAAUAAACAAAAAUGUAUCAAAAAACAACAUAAAAUAAUUAAUAAAAAAAAAAUGAAUAAAAAUAACAACAAAGCAGUUGAGUGGAAUCAGCACGUGAAAUUAGGAAUGAAAAUGUCACAGGUUUAUUUUGGUAAAGAUUAUAAUAUAUUUCCGACCAUGAAUAUUAGUUGUAAACAUCAAGUAUUGAAAUCAGAAAUCACUGGGACUUAACAGAAUGAUUUUUUUUAUUAUUAUAGUGGUUCAUGUAUUUUUCAUCAAACUUUUGAAUUGCCAAAGAUGACAAAAAAAAAAAGACAGUUUCACAUUGAUCUUGAGACGGCACUUGUUGUUUUAAGCUGGCUCAUUCUUAUUGGUUUUGUUUUCAUAUUUCAUGCGAGAUUAAUCUUAUUUUCAAAUAAAAGUUUUUGUUAAUGUAAAAUAUUUGCGUGUACUGUGUACAUUUAUAAUGUAUAUAUAAAUACAGACACAUACAGUAUACAUUUAUAUAAAAAUAUAAUAUAAAAUUUCUUAAAGGUAUACAUGCAUGUGUGUGUGUGUGUAUUUAUAUAUACAUAAUACAUUUACAAAAGAAACACACAUGUAAACAAAAACUUUUAUUUUGGAUGCCACAUUGUGACCUGUUCUAGCCGAGGCCUCAAUGUACGGUGCUCUCAUUUCACUUGCAAACUAUUCCACCUCCUCUUGACUCACUUCCCGCUCUUUUCUGUCACACUUGUGUCCCACAAGUACAAAGAGGACAGUGUAGGGAUUCACUCGAUUACACACCUCUGUGUACUGACGCUCAAUGACUCUGAAAGACUCACGAUUGCCCAGGUCAAACACCAGCAGGCAUCCAGCUCAAUGAGCAAUGUGAAGCUGAACAAGCUGACGGUUCCUGCAAACAUACGUUUGUGAGUCUGAACAACCAGUGUGCUAAUCAAGGUCAGUGUAUAUUCUAUACAUAAAAUAUUCAGGUUGUUACAAUGAAUGAAAUAUUCAUAAAAUGAAUAUUCAUAAAAUAUUCAGGUGGAUACAUUUCAGUUACAUACAGAGUUAAAGACAGUUCUUUAAGUUUUACAUUUAAGAUCUGUACCUGUUGGUUUCCAUAGAAAGAUUUCCAAUUUGAAUGUGGUAGGAGUCAGACGAUCCAGUGUUGAUGCGAUUUGUGUUAUCUUACAUGUUCAUAUAAAGCAGAAGUGGAGUUAUGUAACAGGCAAGGUUUACUAAAAAAAAAAAAAAA